GAUGAAGAACGUAGCGAAAUGCGAUAAGUAAUGUGAAUUGCAGAAUCCAGUGAAUCAUCGAAUCUUUGAACGCACAUUGCGCCCGCCAGCAUUCUGGCGGGCAUGCCUGUUCGAGCGUCAUUUCAACCCUCGACCUCCCUUUGGGGAAGUCGGCGUUGGGGACCGGCAGCACACCGCCGGCCCUGAAAUGGAGUGGCGGCCCGUCCGCGGCGACCUCUGCGUAGUAAUCCAACUCGCACCGGAACCCCGACGCGGCCACGCCGUAAAACACCCAACUUCUGAACGUUGACCUCGAAUCAGGUAGGACUACCCGCUGAACUUAAGCAUAUCAUAAGCGGAGGA
RNAcentral lists this unclassified non-coding RNA (342 nucleotides) under soil metagenome. RNAcentral describes it as "partial contains 5.8S ribosomal RNA, internal transcribed spacer 2, and large subunit ribosomal RNA". The stretch from base 1 to 120 matches the Rfam family "5.8S ribosomal RNA", at positions 35 to 154 of the family's 154-position model. The record is from RNAcentral.